ACGUCAUGGAGCACCACUUUCGAAAUGUCCUAUUUGACACGAACUCAGCUGAUCGUUACUAAACUAACUGGAUCUCAAGCCUUGUCUACUUUUUCCUACUUGUUACACGACUGUGGCUAAUAAGAUUUUUUUUUAAAGAAGAGAAAAUGAGCUCUGGAAAAGCACUACAGUCAGUGUCUCCUCACAACAAUCAACCGCCGCCGACACCAAGCCUGGCGAAAAGAAAGAAGAUUCAAGAGAAGUCUGCAAUAAGGAGUCCAACAGACAAUGUGAUGUCCCCAUGUACAAGACAGCUCAUGAAGAAAGCUAUCAAGGACAUACCGUCAUCUCCCAGACCCAGACGGGAAGCGAAAGAGAACACUGCAAAUAAAUGAAUUACCUUUUUUA
Oncorhynchus tshawytscha (Chinook salmon) is the source of this 387-nucleotide long non-coding RNA. RefSeq lists it as uncharacterized. The record is from RefSeq and is a predicted model, not a curated record. The transcript has 4 exons. Lineage: Eukaryota; Metazoa; Chordata; Actinopteri; Salmoniformes; Salmonidae.